UAGAGUUGCAGGGAGUUUGAACUCGGCUGCGAACCUAAGAUAAGCGAGACUAAACCUUAAGCGACUUGUAAAGUCGCCGCCCUUAGGGGGAGUCGUCUAAUGCUAGACGGCUCUUUUUUUGUAAA
The submitters of this non-coding RNA (125 nucleotides) gave its source as unclassified sequences. The record is from Rfam.